AACUAUCAUAAAAUAAUCUUAAGUUAUAAUUAAGUAAUUUUUUCCUAAUCAUUAACUUUAAUUUAUAUCAGUCAUAACUUCAAAAGAAUAAUUCAUCAUGUAAGGAUCAGUAAAUUCAGAUUUUUAAGAAAGAUGACAGGUGUGUAUGGAAAAGAGUAACAGUUAUAUGAGUUAAAAAUUUAAAAAACGUAAACACUCUCUCUGCAUGCACCCUCUCACUUUACUGAAUUUCUUUCUCUUUAGCUCUCCAAAAUCUUAUCUUGCAGCUGCUCAUUUUCAUUCCAAUCCUCUUCUAUUUCUUUCAAAUAGAUUGUGCUUGAAGCAUGAUAAUCUUCCAUCGGUUCAGUCCAGUGGUUACUCCUCGUCUGGUAAGUGUUUCCUUUUCCUUUUCCCUUUCCUUCAAAUUAGGAUGGGGGAUCAUGUAAUGGUUCUGUUGCAUGUAACCCUUUUUUGUCCCUUUUCCUGUACUGACUUCAAUCAGAUUCUAAAAAUUUAAUUCUAUCACCUAAUGGUGAUUUAUAGGGUAGUAUGGGUAGUAUAAAGUUCCUGGAAGCAUAAAGGUGUGCUGGAAAUUCUCUUGAGUUCAAGUGCUGAAACCUAAGGUAAGGGAAGUUAGGCCUCUUCUCUGUUUUUGAUAAAUUUUUGGUUGCAUGAUUUGUAAAUUUUGUUUGAAAGGUGUAAAAUGAAGUGUGUGUGUGUGAACUUUGAUGUAGAUCUUGUUACUGUUGAGUAAAACCCGAUGAAUUAGAGAUGUGUCUGUUGAAUGGAUUUUCGUAUGAUAUUUUAAAUGGUGGUUUCGAAACUGUUACAAGUGAAUUUCUGUAGUGUGAUGGAAUUAUUGAGAUGUUAGAAACUCUUAUGAUGUGGCCUGUUAGACAGGAAGUUGAAUAAAUUAGAUGUCUUAAGGCAAAAUUGAGGGAAGUGGCAUAAUGGUUUUUAGAUCUUGUGGUUGUGGUCUGUCUUAGACCAUUGGGAGAUUAUAACUAAGUUAUUCCAUGGCUUAAAAUAGUUUCUAGGUAGUAAAAUUAGAAUUUUGACAUCUUAGCUGAUAAAAAUGUAGAUGAUUGGAAAAUCAGUUCAGUUAUUAUAAUGAUAGAGUCCAAAUUCAAGGAAUUAGACUAGUGAUUUUUAGAGUUAGAGGUUAGGAUCUGGUCUAGGCAAUUAGAGUCACUUAGUUAAAUCAAAUAUGACUUAUUAGUAGCAUCAAAAUGGCCUGAAACACUUUCCAAAUGGUAAAUCUGAAAUUGAACCUUUUAGUAACUAAAAUUGAAACUUUAGAUCCUAAAUUGAUGCAUAAUUACUAGAGAUUGAUGUUAGGAGUGUGUGUGAAUCUUUAGACAAGUUUAAUUCAACCUAUACUUCGAAUUUAGAGUGUUAGAAAUUCACCAAAUGGCCUAGAGUAAGUUUUAGGUGUGUGAGUUCCUCAAAUCUGCAGAAUUUCGCGCUGCAGAUUGUGCAGAGUCGCCUAGCGCACUCUGCGAGGGGCUUCUGUCAGGAAAAAUUCGAACAGCGCACCAUAGGGUGUGCACUCAGCGAAUUUUCUGCGACAGAUUGAGUAUUUUUAAUGAUUUUGACGUUUUGGGGGUUCCGGACGUCCGUUUUGGACGUUCUUUAGGUCGUUCUGGGGGUUUUUGACCCUUCCGGAUCCAUUGGUGAGAGUCUCCAAGCUUUUUAAAUUAAGUAAGUGUUGGUAAUAAAAUGCUAUAAAGAAAUUUAUAUUAAUAAAUGAUGUUUCUGCGAAAGUAUGAUUAAUGGACGUAAUUCCAUGAUCCUCAAGGGAGGUUACAUGGUGGUGCCCUAUGGUUUGUUGUGAUUGACCGUAUGAAUGGUCGGAGUUCCAAAUGGGGUUUAUCCUGACAUUCUAAUGACCAUCCAUGCUCAAUUAGAGAGUGAUGAGUCAUGUGGUGAGAAUAGCAGGAGGUCCUAGUAAUAGGUGCUACGUGGAGGCCUAUUAUUCGGUAAAAGGCUUACACUUGUGUGUGGUCGGAUGAAACCCCUUGGCAAUGGCUUUGCAAAGCAGUAGGGCCACAACAAGUGCACAAACCCCUAGAACUCGACAUUUCAUACUAGUCCGGAUGGUCAAAUCACGCGGUCGGUCAUUGGUAUCAACAAAAUGCAUUUGGUCUUAGUUUGUAUUGUGUUAUGGUUUUUGCAUGCUGUGUGUGAUUGUAUAACAUGAUAGUUAGUUCCAUUUAAUGUAUAAUUUGAUAGCAUGUUUACUGGAUUGAUUGUGUGCAUGUUGUUAUGUAUAUGUUAGUUUAUAUUUGGACUUAUCUUACAUGUUUUUCAACCUAACUUUGCAUUUGUAUGUGUUGUAUGUGUUUGCCUUCUUCCUUGCGAUGAUCAUCCAAUCUUUUGGAUGUGAGCAGAGGGAGAGGAUGUUCUCCUGGAGCAAGCUUUGGAGCCAGAGGAUCCAGUCACUACCUCUUAAAACUCUUUCUAUUAGACUCCUUUCUAUAUUUUGAAAAACUUUGUAGCUUAUAUACAACACCUAGUUUAUAUUAUUACUCUUAGAUCUUUUCCAUUAUUUUAAGAGACUCCUUAUGUACUUAAAGUUUUUAAUUUUAUAACCCCUUCGAAUGACUGUAAAUAUUAUGACUUUAAGUAUUUUCUUAAACUCUUUUACCUUAUUAUAAUGUUACAUCCUGA
This 2649-nucleotide long non-coding RNA is filed under the name Vigna radiata. RNAcentral's name for it is "long non-coding RNA (VRAD_LNC010945)". Lineage: Eukaryota; Viridiplantae; Streptophyta; Magnoliopsida; Fabales; Fabaceae. The record is from RNAcentral.